This 479-nucleotide ribosomal RNA is filed under the name uncultured bacterium. RNAcentral's name for it is "bacterial SSU rRNA". It matches the Rfam family "Bacterial small subunit ribosomal RNA", at positions 29 to 523 of the family's 1533-position model. The record is from RNAcentral.
AACGAACGCUAGCGGGAUGCCUCAAACAUGCAAGUCGUACGCGAAAGUUCCUUCGGGAACGAGUAGAGUGGCGCACGGGUGAGUAACACGUAGUUAACGUACCCUUUCGCUGGGGAUAACUCCGGGAAACCGGGGCUAAUACCGAAUGAGCUGUGAGAAACUGCGGUUUCUCUCGGCAAAGGCGCAAGCCGCGAAAGGAUCGGGCUGCGGUCCAUUAGCUUGUUGGUAGGGUAACGGCCUACCAAGGCGACGAUGGAUAGCUGGUCUGAGAGGAUGAUCAGCCACACUGGAACUGAAACACGGUCCAGACUCCCACGGGAGGCAGCAGUUGGGAAUAUUGCACAAUGGGGGAAACCCUGAUGCAGCAAUCCCGCGUGAGUGACGAAGGCCUUCGGGUCGUAAAGCUCUUUCAGCAGGGAAGAUAAUGACGGUACCUGCAGAAGAAGCACCGGCUAACUCCGUGCCAGCCGCCGCGGUAA